AGAGUUUGAUCCUGGCUCAGAACGAACGCUCGCGGCGUGGAUUAGGCAUGCAAGUCGAACGAGAAAGUUUCCUUCGGGAGACGAGUAGAGUGGCGAAGGGGUGAGUAAUGCAUAAAUGACCUACCCACAUGACCAGGAUAACUACUCGAAAGGGUAGCUAAUACUGGAUGUGAUCCUUGAUUUGAGAGCGCUGGAUUAAAGGUGGCCUCUGUUUCAAGCUGCCGCAUGGCGAGGGGUCUAUGUACUAUUAGCUUGUUGGUGGGGUAAUGGCCCACCAAGGCUAUGAUGGUUAGCCGGCCUGAGAGGGUGUCCGGCCACACUGGGACUGAGACACUGCCCAGACUCCUACGGGAGGCUGCAGUCGAGAAUCUUCCACCAAUGUGCGAAAGCAUGAUGGAGCGACGCCGCGUGAAGGAUGAAGGCCUUCGGGUCGUAAACUUCUGUCACAAGGUUCUAAACUCGCAGAGUUAAUACCUCUUGCGCCUGAAGACCCUUGAGAGGAAGCACCGGCUAAAUCCGUGCCAGCAGCCGCGGUAAUACGAAUGGUGCAAGCGUUGUUCGGAAUCACUGGGCAUAAAGAGCACGUAGGCGGUGGCGUAUGUCAGGUGUGAAAUCCCUCGGCUCAACCGAGGAACUGCAUCUGAAACUGCGCCGCUAGAGUGCGGGAGGGGAGAGUGGAAUUCCAGGUGGAGCGGUGAAAUGCGUAGAUAUCUGGAGGAACGCCGGAGGCGAAAGCGACUCUCUGGUCCGCAACUGACGCUGAGGUGCGAAAGCUAGGGGAGCGAACAGGAUUAGAUACCCUGGUAGUCCAAGCUGUAAACGAUGACCACUAAGUAGUGGGACUCCAAAGGUCUCGCUGCCGGAGCUAAUGUAUUAAGUGGUCCGCCUGGGGAGUAUGGUCGCAAGGCUGAAACUCAAAGGAAUUGACGGGGGCUCACACAAGCGGUGGAGCAUGUUGUUUAAUUCGAUGCAACGCGAAGAACCUUACCUGGGCUUGACAUGUAUGUGGUAUCAAACCGAAAGGGGCGAGACCUACUUUGUAGGAGCAUACACAGGUAUUGCACGGCUGUCGUCAGCUCGUGUCGUGAGAUGUUGGGUUAAGUCCCGUAACGAGCGCAACCCCUAUUGUUAGUUGCUAACAGGUAAUGCUGAGGACUCUAGCGAGACUGCCGGUGUUAAACCGGAGGAAGGCGGGGACGACGUCAAGUCAUCAUGGUCCUUACGCCCAGGGCUACAAACGUGCUACAAUGGCAGGUACAAAGGGAAGCAAGAUCGUGAGAUGGAGCAAACCCCAAAAAGCCUGCCCCAGUUCGGAUUGGAGGCUGAAACUCGCCUCCAUGAAGUUGGAAUCGCUAGUAAUCGCAGAUCAGCCAUGCUGCGGUGAAUGUGUUCCUGAGCCUUGUACACACCGCCCGUCAAGCCACCCAAAUUGGCCGCACCCGAAGUCGCCGACCCAACCUGCAAAGGAGGGAGGCGCCGAAGGUGAGGUUUGUGAGGGGGACUAAGUCGUAACAAGGUA
RNAcentral lists this ribosomal RNA (1519 nucleotides) under uncultured prokaryote. RNAcentral's name for it is "partial 16S ribosomal RNA". It matches the Rfam family "Bacterial small subunit ribosomal RNA". The record is from RNAcentral.